RNAcentral lists this ribosomal RNA (454 nucleotides) under uncultured bacterium. Its description in RNAcentral is "partial 16S ribosomal RNA". It matches the Rfam family "Bacterial small subunit ribosomal RNA", at positions 28 to 507 of the family's 1533-position model. The record is from RNAcentral.
GAUGAACGCUGACAGAAUGCUUAACACAUGCAAGUCAACUUGAACUUCGGUUUGGGUGGCGGACGGGUGAGUAACGCGUAAAGAACUUGCCUCACAGUUAGGGACAACAUUUGGAAACGAAUGCUAAUACCUGAUAUUAUGAUUUUAGGGCAUCCUAGAAUUAUGAAAGCUAUAUGCGCUGUGAGAGAGCUUUGCGUCCCAUUAGCUAGUUGGAGAGGUAACGGCUCACGAAGGCGAUGAUGGGUAGCCGGCCUGGGAGGGUGAACGGCCACAAGGGGACUGAGACACGGCCCUUACUCCUACGGGAGGCAGCGGUGGGGAAUAUUGGACGAUGGACCAAGAGUCUGAUCCAGCAAUUCUGUGUGCACGAUGAAGUUUUUCGGAAUGUAAAGUGCUUUCAGUUGGGAAGAAAAAAAUGACGAUACCAACAGAAGAAGUAACGGCUAAAUACGUG